RNAcentral lists this ribosomal RNA (252 nucleotides) under uncultured bacterium. RNAcentral describes it as "partial 16S ribosomal RNA". It matches the Rfam family "Bacterial small subunit ribosomal RNA", at positions 524 to 776 of the family's 1533-position model. The record is from RNAcentral.
UACGUAGGUUGCAAGCGUUAUCCGGAAUUAUUGGGCGUAAAGGGUGCGUAGGCGGUUACGUGUGUCUAAGGUGAAAUUCCAGAGCUCAACUCUGGACUGCCUUAGAAACUGCGUGACUAGAGUGCAGGAGAGGGCAACGGAAUUCCAUGUGUAGCGGUAAAAUGCGUAGAUAUAUGGAGGAACACCGGUGGCGAAGGCGGUUGCCUGGCCUGUAACUGACGCUGAGGCACGAAAGCGUGGGGAGCAAAUAGG